AUUGAACGCUGGCGGCGUGCCUAACACAUGCAAGUCGAGCGGUAACAGGUGUAGCAAUACAUGCUGACGAGCGGCGGACGGGUGAGUAACGCUUGGGAAUCUGCCUGUUAGUGGGGGACAACCCGGGGAAACUCGGGCUAAUACCGCAUACGCACUACGGUGGAAAGCCGGGGACCGCAAGGCCUGGCGCUAACAGAUGAGCCCAAGUCGGAUUAGCUAGUUGGUAGGGUAACGGCCACCAAGGCGACGAUCCGUAACUGGUCUGAGAGGACGACCAGUCACACCGGAACUGAGACACGGUCCGGACUCCUACGGGAGGCAGCAGUGGGGAAUAUUGGACAAUGGGCGAAAGCCUGAUCCAGCGACGCCGCGUGGGUGAAGAAGGCCUGCGGGUUGUAAAGCCCUUUCGGUGGGGAAGAAAAGCCUCGAGUUAAUACCUCGGGGUCUUGACGUAACCCCAUAGAAGAAGCACCGGCUAACUCUGUGCCAGCAGCCGCAGU
Molecule: ribosomal RNA, 500 nt
Filed under: uncultured bacterium
Lineage: Bacteria
Description: bacterial SSU rRNA
Rfam family: Bacterial small subunit ribosomal RNA
Source: RNAcentral